Molecule: non-coding RNA, 29 nt
Filed under: Rattus norvegicus (Norway rat)
Lineage: Eukaryota; Metazoa; Chordata; Mammalia; Rodentia; Muridae
Source: RNAcentral
UAGGACCAUAUAGAUAUUCCUUUCAGUGG